GAAAGUCCUAUUCUGAGCUCGAGCUCAGAUGGACCUGUUAUCCCAGCCGUUGUCUGGCGCUAAGAUUCACAUCAGGAGAUGUAUUUUACUGCGUAUUCUGAGUAGUAUGAGAUGCUUUUCCACAUACUAGGGCCCACUCACCGACCGCAUUUAUUGGGACAUCCAUCAUCCAGCACUAGCCGGCUCAGAUGGACACUAGCGUCGUGGUCCACGGCUCAGCCGUUACACACCCAACGGUGGCUUCCAGCAAACAUUUUUUUAAUAUAUACAUGCACUGCAUUGACCGCACACACCCUUGCUCUGGAAGAUUCACUUUUCUUCCUCACAGCCUCAGGAAGUGCUGCCACCUAUCCCUUGCCCCGACUACCUCGACAAGGUGGUCACCUUCGCCUCGCGCGCGCCGAGCUCGCUCUACAAAUGCGUCAGGAAAGAUGUAAGUGCCCAUCUACCAUGAAGAACAAUCUUUUGGAGCUUGGAUCCCCACUCCGUGUCUGAAGUUAGAAUCCAUGCAGGUUGAGCUAUGCGGGUUCAUUUAGAUCCACGGACACGUACCUGCCCGAGCUGACUCGCGCAGGGCUGACGCAGCCGUACGUGCUGCAACCCCCCUUGCUAUGCACCCGUCGGCUCCCCUUCAGCAGAGAUACAGGCGAGACCACAACUUCGACCAUAGCAGCCAGGCGGAGAUUCAGCCAGCACAUGUGCGCAUGCAGCCACAGGUGCAGCAGCUGAGCCUCCCCCGUGCCGCGCCUCCACGCUGCUCCGCCGACAGCCAGCGCACGACGCUGCUCUUGGCCGGAACCAACUUCAUCCUCGUCCUGCCAACUAAUCCAACCCUAGUCCUGCAUGACAAAUCAGCAAACUGAUUACACAUCCUGGCCGAGAUUGUUCGUUUGUAGUGGAGCACAUAUACUUAACACAUUUCUUUCAUCAUACUUCUGCACAAUCAUGGAAAUUUCAAAACAUACUCGGAAAACAUUACAAUUAAACCUAUUUUUUGGGCAAAUGACUCCUGAAAAGCUCACCGGAUAUUCUUCACACAAAACGUAACUAUCACUAGUGCCUAAUCAUAAUUUGAACAAAUAAUUUUUUUACAAACACUUGAUCUCUGGCUAUGGUGAUCGGUCACAACUUUAUGUAUUUUGCAUAGUGCUACAGGGCCUAAGUUUAGAUGAAACACACUCGCUGCUGUCUAGCCGCUACAUACAUUCAGGAAAAGUGGAAAACCCAUGCCUUUGAACUAGUUUUGUCUUAGUAAGUUUAGACAUUUCCAAAAUCAGCAGCACUAAUUUAUAUGGUCAAUUACUUCGAACUUCUGUUCAUAAUAAGCAUCAAUUUUAUAAAAUCCAAGGGGCCCUACAGAUUGCAAUAAGCUGAAUAUUAACCGUAGACAUUUCGAAAAUUCAGCAGCACUAGUUUCCUAAAAUUCAGCGGCAGUAGUCUGUCAUAUUAAACCUACACAUUCCGAAAUUCAGCAGCAGUAGUUGUCCUCCCGUAGUCCUAGUCAAUUUAAUCCAAGGCUAAGGGUUUUACCUUCAAAAGCAUGCACACAAGUUCAUGAAAACCUGGGGACAAGCCAACAUUUGAAACUAAACCAGACAUGCCAAGCUGGAACACAGUUCGACUUAUUACAUUACCUAGCCACUGGCCAAUAUGCAGAGUUACGAAAAGCAUGUCAACACCUAAAAAUUAACCAUGGUUUAGAUUAUGCCGAAGCUAAAACAUGUCACCUACAGGCAUAUGCCUCAAUAGCAAAUAAGAUAAUUGAAAAGACAUCAUGAGCCCAUCAGCUCCUACCCAGUGCAUUCCCCAAACUGCAUUCUACUUGCCAGCCUUAGUUCCAUUGAUUUAUUAAAAUUAUUUUGCGGGUGCCCCUCAAACUGCAUUCUACUUGCAAGCCACAGUUCUUACAUUUGGCAGGCUUCCGAGGUUGCUUAGGGACAUCACCACAUCAGGGCAUGUAGUUUGCUUAUGCCCUUGUUUUCAGCAUAUCGUGCAAAACCUAGUCCUCUUGCUUAGACCUUCAUAUGGAGCCUUCUCCGUACUUGUCGUUGGCCAUCCCAUAUCUUUCUUUUUCGCUGGAGCCAGCAGUCCUUCCAACCUGUUGCUUGUCCUCGAAACCGAAUCAUUGUUAGUUAAAACAGCAGUAGCUGCUUUGGCGUUCAUGUUUUGUUCCGCCGAAACCAGCUCCAUGGGAGUCUGAUUCACCACAGCCCCCCUGUCUGCCAGUCUAUCCUCGAGGCCAAGACCAUCCCUAACUUCUGCAUAGGGUAACAUCACUGUCAAAUUCGACUUGAACAACUCCAUCAAUUGAUUGUAGGCUUCAAAACUAGUGUUGCCCAGCCUGACUAGUUCCAUUGCGUGCAUGUACAUCGUGAAGUUUCUGUACGAAAAAGGGUUGUUCUACAUACUGUCCUUCUGGUAUUGUAUCAGAUGAGGUGGCAGAAUGUCGCGAGCAUCCCUCGUCCAUGUCUUCACUAUAUGCUUAGCUGGUAUUUUUUAGCCCUAAUGAAACCAAGCAUCUCUUCAUUAUGUGCACGCUUUUCAUGAGCUUCUCAGAUAAAAAUUGUACUCCACUGUAUCUGAUUUACUAACAACAAAUCAGUGAGAGCAUCACCAGAAGCCUCGCCCAAGGAGUCGAAUGUAAUGCCGAGAACAGGUGUGAUCACAUUUUCAGCCGGUUUCUCUGCAAAACAUUUGACAGCCUUGUCGAACGCACUGAUUCGAUUUGGGCAUGGUGUCCUGAUUAGUGCAGCAGCACCAAGCCUCAGCCUGCAAAUACCAGGCGUAGGCAUGAUUUAUCCAAAUGCAUUGUACCAACUGCUCUGAAUCCACAAAGCUAUAGCUGACUGAUUUCUUUUCUGCAAUCCAAUUUUCUAUAAUAAAAUCUUUGCAUCUCUCAUAUCAAAUGGUUUCAUUUUAAUACAGUUUGCUAACUACUCUGAACCCAUACAUCUCUAGCUGCCUGAUUUCUUUAGUGUUGUCAAUUUUAUUUAAUAAAAUAAUUUCCAUCUGUGAUCACAUAAUUAAGCUUUUCAUUAUCUGACUGUCUGAUUUCCAUCUGUGAUCACAUAAUUUCCAUCUAGCAGUGUACUUAUUCCUCUGAACUCAGCAAACUGCAGCUGCCUGAUUUCUUUACCGCACUCAAUUUUUCUUUACUAAAAUCUUUGCAUCUCGCAUAUCAAUGAGUUACAACUGAAUGCAGUGCACAAACUACUCUGUUUUACUGAAAUCUUUCCUUAUCUGAUGACAUAAGGAAGUUUUUUCUUAUCUGAAUUUCAACUACGUGAAUGCAAUGGAGUUAACCCGCUAAACCUGGUAAAUUACAGCUGCCUGAUUUCAUUAGUGCUACCAAUUUUUCUCCACUAAUUUCUUUGCAUCUCUCAUAUCAGGAGGGUUCAGCUAAAUGCAUUGUACUAAAUACUCUGAAUCUAGAAAGAUAUAGUUGCCUGAUUUCUUUACUGAUGUAAAUUUUUCUUUACUAACAUAUUUGCAUCUCUGAUGACAUACGGAAGCUUUUCCACUGACCUCUUAUUCCAUCCGGGCG
RNAcentral lists this long non-coding RNA (3544 nucleotides) under Triticum aestivum (bread wheat). RNAcentral describes it as "long non-coding RNA (TAES_LNC026363)". The record is from RNAcentral. Lineage: Eukaryota; Viridiplantae; Streptophyta; Magnoliopsida; Poales; Poaceae.